CCGCCCCACCGGGGAGGACAGCUCCGCGGGUACGGGCGCAAACACACCUGGAGAAGGGCGUGGGCCCGGCGCCCUUGAGCUGCAGCUCCCAGCGCUCUCCGGCCGCCGUGCACACCUCGCCCAGGUCUCGCCUCGGGGACUGCGAGGUCCCGGCCCGUCCGGGUCCCGGUCCGCGGGGCUGCGGCUGAUGGCUGGAGCGUGCGGCGGAGACUGGGCCGUCCGGAAUGACUGCCCUGCGCCACAACGGCAGGUCCCUGGCGGUCCGUCCCGGAGGCACCGGCCAGUCCGGGCUGAGCGCUCCGGGCCGGUGGCCGUGACGAGUGACGUCCCCAUGGGACCUCCGGGGUGCCUCCCAACUCCGCGGUGAAGCCAAGGUCAGACCCGGCCCCACGCUUUGCUGAGGUUUGGCCCUGGAUUGUCCUUUGCCCACUGCGCACAGGGAAGGAGGGAAAGAGGACCUUUGUCCAGAUCUGUCCGAAAGUUGGGGGACAUUUUUGGGCCAGGAAGAGCCCCAGGGCGAAGCCAAAGCUGAGAGCCUGCCAGCCUGGGGCCAGGCGACUCCCUCGUGCAGGGCCUUUGCUCCUGCUCUUUCCCUGCUCCAAGCAGGGUUCCUCACACGCGGGCUGGAUCCCAGGCCCACCUCUCCUGCCUGCCUCCUGUGUUUUUCCUUGCACUUCUCUCUGAAAUUAGCUCAUUCCCUUAUUUUCCUGUUUCCUGUGUGUCUUUCUUCUCACCCACGCUCUGGAAGGGUGGGAGCCUUGGUGAUCUGGGCACCAGUUCCCCCAGAACAGAGCCUGGCCCAGAGAAACCCCCCAUAGAUGCCCAGGAGGCCUAGGGUGGGCGCAGGGUGGGGAGGGCAAGCCUGGCCUUGAAGGGCCCGCCCCCAGGUGAGGAGCUGCGGUCAGUGUUGCAGAAUGACUCAGGGGUUCCGUUCAGAAGAGGCUUGUGGAGGGCCCCCCAGGCGACCCCACUGAUGCCUGCGUGGCACGGGUGGUCCUUGCAGGGGUUCCCAAGCCCCUGCCCACCUGGACCCAGAGUCACACCCGAGACCGCCUGUGGCUAGGGCUGUUCUGUUCCCGCUGCCCCGAUUCCACACCAACUUAAGGGAGACGCCUCGGAACCUCCCCCUGGGGCCCCAGCAUGGCGCCCCAGACCUUGUGUGAACCAGCUCCGCCCCUGCCGGCUCUGUGACCUCGGGGAAGCCCUCACCCCCCUCCAGCUCGGGGUCCUCUUCCCCGACGUGAGCAAUGACACUGCCUUCUGUGUGGGGUGGGGGGUCCCACAGACAACGGGGACAACGUGGUAGGUGCUUGGCACCCUGGAUCCCCCUCCUGCAGCCUGACGGCUUCCCUUCCACCUGGACCCACCUGGGCUCUUCCCCACGUGGCCUGCUGGCAGAGUCCCCUGUUCCCAGCCUUCUUCCUAGCUACCUGGGAGACCUGACCUGAGACUCCCCUCUUCCCCAGGCCCAGGCCCUCCUGCCCCAUCUCCUGGCCGCCUCACCCCACUGUCCUACCCCUACUCUGGAAUCUGGUGGGACUGGGUGUUUGAGGGCCUGUGAGUGCCGGGCUCUGUGCCCUACUGCCUGCCCUGCCUGAGCUCACAGCAGAGGGAACAUCUGGUGGGUUCCAGUGGUUCUGCAGGUCAGUGUGGGAGGGUCAGUGGCCCUCCCAGCCCUGGCAACCUUGCCUCUGCCUCACUCUUGGGCUGCAUGGCCUCGUGGACCUCCCUAGGCCCAUCCGGUACCUGCAGGUGCCGCUGGAGCACAGGGUCCACGUGGCCCUGAUGCGUGGGAGCUGAGCUUGGCCCCUUCCUGGCCCCUCCCUGCAAAGAAGACUCAGCUGACAGCCAGGCUGCGCCAUCCUUGCAGGGCAGGCCUAGGCCCUGGGGGUGGCAGUGCGAGUGCGCAGCCCGCUAGAGCGCAGGGCCGGUCCACGGUCGUCCAGCGCAUGCCUGAGUCGGCCCCGGUGCGCUCCGGCCUCGGUGUGUUGAGGUUGGCCUGGUCACCAUCGCUGUACCACCAGCUGGCGCGUGAGGGCUCGCGGCUGCAGCUGGCAGAGAUGUGGGCCAUCGGCGCAGGGCGUUCAGCCAUGGGGCGUGUGGUGCAGCGUGCUGAAGCCACAGCCCUCCUGGUUGUGGACACCGCCGGAGCCCUGGAACGUGUACCCUGUACGGUGUGGGCCGUGGCACUGCAGCCCUUCAGCUGCACCCCCGUCCUGGAUCCUGGCCAUCUGGGCCCCCCGGCAGGUGGUCCGGGAGGAACAUCCUUUCCCAGAGAGCUGAGGCUGGCAGAAGUAGGCUGAGAAGUUGGGGACUCUGGGGUCCCAACCUUCUUCCCAGCCCCUAGCCCGGGAAGCAUGUCAGCACACCACGAUGCUUGUGGGCAGGGGGGUGGUACGAAAGCCCCCAGCCCUCCCAGGCACUCACCUGCGGCCCUGAGUACAGGCCGAGAGGUAGAGCCAAUAAAACCGGUCUCCCUGGUCCACGCGGAAGCUGUCAUAGCGGGCCCGCAGCGAGUGGUUGCCCACGUCCCGCAGAUCCACCGUCAGCUCGCUGUGCAGGCCGGGCUGGGAGGUCAGGCCCAAGAUGUGUUCCAGCCCCGGCCAGUGGUCACCCAGGCUCAGGCCUGCCCUGUGUUCUCAACAAGGCCCCGGGGCCCUGGCUGCACGGCCUUCCUACCUCCCCAGUCUCCAAAGCCCUCUUUGUACUCCUGCCGGCACCUCUCAAAUUCCAGCAGCCUCUCCCCGCCCGUCUCAACUCUGAAUCACCGUCCAACCACUGUCUGCACGCUUGUCACAGAACCUGGGGUGGGGCGAGGACGUCAGCGCCUCCCGUGCUGGCUGGGCCUGGGUGGGUCGGAGGGGCCUGCCCCUCCACGGUCCAGGCGGGAGGGAUGUCCGCUCUCCCCUAAGCACUCUUUAUAUGUUUGAGAAAUGAAACCUUGUUGUUUUUCUGUUUGUCAGUGUAAUACAAACUUGCAUUGGAAUCACUAACAUUCUCAGAAAUAGGGUGAAGACUCACAGUAACUCCCCAGGCCUCAGGCUGACGGCUUCAAUUUAAUGGAUGUUAUUUUAUACUUAACUUGUAUCCUGGCCAUCUUUGUUCCCUUGGAAGUAGACUUCUCUUCUCCUUUCCUGACUGUAGCCAGCGCCCAGAGAGCAUCUCUGUUCCAGGUGCAGGUGUCUGAGGAUGGCCUCUGGCCUGGCCCCGCCCUUCCCUCCCAACAGCCCACGGUAACAUCUGUUUUUGCCAAAGUGAUACACGAACUGCAGGCUGCUCUCCUGGACGGGGCACUGGCUCCUCUGGCUGGCUGGCAUACACACCUCUGGGGCCCUCUGGUUCUCCACCCAGAUCUGAGAGCAGCCUCUCCCUGGGGAAGACUUGGGCCAGGAGGGGUCAGAGUUGUCUGGGUGACCAGACCCAGAGCCCGAGAAGGGCCCGUGGACAGUCCAGCAGGUGACUUACAACCUUGGUCCUGGCAGACGCGCAGCCACUGUCCUCUCGCCUUGGGCCACACCUGCCUCAGGCCUCUUCCCUUCUGGAAGCCGCUGGCCUUCAGGCUCCUAGCACUUGCCGGCCCCCAGCCCUCCGUCAGACCCUCGAUUCCUCCUGUCGCCCCUGGACCCACCUCUCCCUGUGGGUCCAACAUGGCCUUCACCUGCUGCCCUAGGAGGGUCUGCCUUGGCUUCCCCGCCUCCCUCGCUCGGCCCAGCUGGCCCCCCUAACACCAGCCUGGAGGGGGCCUGGUCCUUGCCUGCCCCUCCCCCAGGCUGUUUAGGGCAGGCACCCAGGUGGGUCCUCAGGGGAGUGAGAAGCCUGCAGGGUGCAGACCUGUGGGUGACAGCUCCGAGGCCACCCAGCCAUUACGCACUGGGCCCCUUCCACUCCCCCACACCCGGCCAGACCCUGGGGUCCCAGCAGGACCGCCUGGACCUGUGGAGAGAAGACCCCGGGCAGAGGGAAGCUCAGUAGCCCCUGGAGCCCCUGGCCCACCAUGGGCCCACCACCCACUCCUACCAGCCUUUGACGAUGUGCCUCAGAGCUGGCCCAGGGCAGAGAGGCACAGAAGAGCCCCGAGACCCAGCGCAGGGCAGGCGGCCAUGCUUCCUGGGGGGCAAACACGUGGAGAAGCGCCACCCCGCCGCCUCCUGCCGCGCCCCCGGGGCGGCCCACACGCCUCUCCAUGCCCACUGUCGUCGCCUUUCUGGGCGAUGUGAGCCGCCGGUCCCCACUGAGUUUUGUUCAAGGUGCUGGGCUCGCUCCCACCUCCUCCCCUCCGGCAUGCCAGGGUGUGGGGCUGGGCAGGGAGGGGAGCCCCAGGGUGCGGACUAGAAGGGAGGGCAGGGGUCCACAAGGGAUGGGUGGGUACCACCAACAUCCUGAUGCCCUUCCCCACCCUCCCUGUCACUUGAGUCCCAUUCCCGCACAUUUCACAAAGCAGGCUUCCAAAAUUAGAUUUUAUUUCAGUCUCUAAGGGACGUGUACACGAGCGUGUGAAUGACAAGGACAUGGCCCAGCCCAAGGCUCCUUGGGCCAAAUUGUGGCCAUGGCUUUCACCUGAUUUAGACACUGAGUCAACACAGACACAACCAAACGUGGCCCUGGGCCCCUGACGGGAUGCACAGAUGCUACGUCGAAAACAGGUGACCAGGACACGACGCAAACAGGUAAUGACCGGGGUCAAGUGCUGUAUGGGGCCAGCUCGACCUUGGGCCCAGCUGCACCCAACGCGGUUCCUGUGCAAACUGGCGGCCCUGGUGGGUCGCUGCCAGCCAUCCACUGAGGGUCGGGGUGACCCCCAGGUCCCACCACUAGCUGCACAGGAAGCAGGUUCAACCGCCUGUGGGCCAGGCAGGCUCCACCCCGAGAGGGCGGCGGCCCUGCAGCCCCCACGGCUGGAGGUAGACCACGGGGGCAGCUGGACGGGCAGCGGUUGGAGGCCAGCCUGGCUGCCCAUGGCCGAAACUGACCCUUGCCACACCCCUGUCUUCCUGGGACCGAGACCCCAAGAGAAAGGUGUUCUCUUUGUCCCAACCAGAUUUAAGGCUAGUAUUUCCUGACAUUUGCUUCGGUUUAAGUUAAAAAUACCUGAGUAGAAAAGUUUCAGACACUUUUAAAAGCCAGAAACGCACAACCUCUGUAGGCACAGCCGUUGCUGGCGCUCACCCGGGGCCGCCAAGGAGCCACGCGAAGGGCUGCACGGGCCAAGCUGCCCUUCCCCGCGUGCUGGCCCGGCACCCCCGCGAGGCGCCGCCUGCGACGCGGAGAGAAGGCACAGUGAGGUAGGGGCUGGCCGGCUGCGGCCCACCGCACCUCACCCCUCCCCCGCCAGCUCAUCCCGGGCCGGUGAACUUCCCAGCGGCCGCAGGGAGGGGGUGGAGGGGGGCUGCUGGGAAGCCCGAGCUCAGACAGUGAAAUAAUUCUUUAUUUGGGCGGGUUGGGAGAGGGCAGGUGAGGCUAGGCCGGACCCCCAUGGGGGGUGGCACCCAGGAGCUCCUCAGGGGGCCGGCCCCCCGUGCCCCUCGGCCGUGUCACAGGAGCAGCCGCGGGCAGCCCCCUGGACGGACGUGGUGGCUCCCUCUGUCCUUCCUACUUGUGCGGCCAGGCCUCGGAGGCCCUCUGCAGGCAGUACUGGGCGGCAGGCAGUGACAAGACCAGGCUGCUGGCACGGCGCCCCAUCCAGUACAGGCCGUAGCCCAGGAGGCCCAGGAAGGCGGCCUUCGCGGCCAGCCAGGACACUCUGCCACAGACGGACGGCGGGGGGACGCUGGGGAAGGGAGGGCGGGCUGGGCCUGGCUGGGGACGCACAAUCCCCCAGCCCCCAGCCCGGCUCCACGUGGGUGGGGUGGGGCGGGACGGAGACGGAGGGCUGGGUGGGCGGCACUCACGUCAUUAUCUCCUGGAUGUUGAGGUCGGUGGUCCAGUUCUUCUCGAUGCCGGGGACGUGGCCCAUGCCCACGACGCCCACCACCACGGAGGGGACGCACUUCCUGGGCUCGGCUGCAGGGGGGAGAGACGCAUCAGCACUGCCCACCCGACUGGCCCUGGCGGGUCCCCAGCGACUACCCCGCAGCCCGUCCUCACCGUCAGAGGCACGGGGCAGCUCCAGGCGCCGGGCCGCCUGCCUCAGCAUGUCCUUCUGCUUGCACCGCUCCACGUCAUCCUUGCUGGGGGAGAAGGGCGUGCUGCCAGCCCGAGGGACGGCUGACCCAGGGCGGGGACCUCGCACCUUCUGUCUGGGAUCCUGGCAGGAGGAAGGGCUGGGGAGGCCCUUUGAGAGGAGGCUCCACCCGAGAAUGAGAGGCGUUUGCCGUGUGGCGGUCUGGGCCAGGCCAGGGUGGACCAAGUGCUCUGUGGGUAUCUCAGGCCACUGGUCACCAUUCCCGGGCCGGGAGGCCGAGGGGCCCUACCUGAUAGGGUCCGACAGGAAACACAGGCCCCAGGCCAGCUUGAUCUUCUGCCAGAAAGAGAGGGCGGCGAUGGCCCUCUUGAAGGUGACGGGGAUAGGCCGGUCGCCCAGGUGGAACUUGCAGAAAGGCACCUUGCUGGCCUGGGCAGAGGCUGGGUGUUGGCGGGGGAGCCUCAGGCCCCGGGCAGCUCCCAAGCGCCGAGCCCCCUCUGCCCCCCGGCCGGGCCCGGGCCCACCUCCUUGAAAGCCUCCCUGAACUCGCCGCCAGGGGCCAUGCCCAGCUGCUCAGUGAUGUGGGCGGACACCUUCAGCAGCAGCAUCUGCAUGAGUCCCGACAUGACCCCGUUCUGCAGGGAGAGGCCCGGUCAGCCGGCGUGCGGCAGAGCGUGAUGUGCCUGCGGCCCUGCGGGAGGCCUGCCCUGUGCUCUGGGGAGGAGCGAGGGCCACGCUGACGUCCAGCAGGGCCUCAUGGUGGGCGCCUCACCCACGGUGCACGCUCAGAGGCCCCUCCCGGCCCUUCAGACGACCUUCCCAGAGCAGGCCCACCGCAGGCCAUGCAGUCUCAGACCGGCUGCCUGGCCUCUGCCCCACGGGUGCCCCCUUUCCCCCCUCACCCCUCCAGGCCAGACCCCCAGCUCCUCUGCCCACAUCCCCCUUGGGGCACCUGUCAGUGUGAGUGGACUUGGGUUCUGGGUCCAGAGCCCCUGCGUGAGGCACAGUGGGGUCGCAGCUCUGGGCCACAUGACAAGCUGAGGCCCCACCCCCGCCCCUGGUGACCUGCCAGCACACUCCGGGGCCCUCAGGGUCCCUGACCAGCUCCUGCCUUGGGGUUGGGGCCUCAGCCGCCUCUCCUCACUGUCCCUCGGGCCAGGGUCCCCACGGGGCGGGCACGCGCACCUGCCUGACGGCCUGCUGCAGCUUCUCCAGGCUGAUCUCCUUGGCCUCACGCAGCAGUGUGCGCUCGUCCAUCUUCAGCAUGGACACGCGGUACUGGCACAGCUCGACCACCACCACGUCGGGCUGCACCUCCCGGAUGGUCUGCGACGGACAUGCCAGCUCACCGCGGGCCCCAUGGGCAGAGCCACGCCGGACCCGGAGGCCCACCCCCAGGUCGACCCCACCGCCGCUCAGCCGCCGUGGAGAUAGCUCGGUGCCGGAAGUAACUACGGCGGGAGGGACGGCCCGGGUCUGCGUGUCCUGCCGCAGCAGCAGUGGCGGCUCACGGGCCUCACCUUCGCCACGUCCUUCUUGCUGUCGUCGCUGAAGUGGGCCGUGCCCACCACGUACACGCGGCUCCCAUCCUCGGCCACCAGCUCAGUCACCGUGCGCGGCAGGUUGGGCCGCUCUUGCCGCCUCUUCAGCUUCAUCUCCAGGAGCAGGUGGAAAGCGUCCACGUCGGCUGCAGGGACAGCAAGGCCCGGCUUGGGGCCAUCCUCCCACACGGGCAGCCUGGGCCUCCGGGGCGCAGGGACGGGGGUGCGUGCUGCCCCGCGGAACGCGGACGCACGUGGGGGCCUCUCCGGGCCUCGAGCCACUGGUACUUGCUCACCAGGACGUGCGGCCAGGCCCCACGCCAAGGGGAGCCCCCAGGCCGCCGAGGGGCCCAGGACGGGGUGGGGCUGUGCAGGGCACCCGGCCUCCACACCUGAGGAGGGGGCUCCUGCCACAGCCCUGCUCGCACUCAAGAACCCCCCCCCGCCACCCCCCAAGGGUGGGCCGGGGCCCUGUGGUCCACCACCACAGGCUCUGGAGAUCACCCAGCCCAAGCCCCUCCCGCCCGGCACGGUGACCCAGGGAGCACGCACACAGGUUCUGGGGCUCUCCGGGGAGCACCCUGGGCACCACCUCCGAACCCCCUGAAGUCACGAUGGGCUCUGUGCUGGCCUGCGGAGGGAAGGGGAGCGUUCGAGCGGCGGUGCUCGCCUCUCCGGGGCCUGCCGGGACUCGUGCGGCUGCCCCACCAAGCCCCAGAGCCUGCCGGCUGUGUCCCCCAGACGAUCCCCUCACAGGCGGCCCGCCCUCAGGGCGCCCUGUGGCUGUGUCCCCCCAGACGAUCCCCUCACAUGCGGCCCGCCCUCAGGGCGCCCUGCCCCGGGCCCUCAGCUGACUAGCAACAUCCCAGGAAGACCAGUGAGGGGCUUCUCUGCACAGAGGCCAGAGGGACCCCAGGGAGCCUCACGGGGGGAGCCCCACUCUCCGCGGGGCCGCCCCGGCCCCCGCCCCCGCCCUCGCUCCCCGGCCCCCCAGCCCAGGGCUCUGACCUCGCGAAGGGGCUGUUCGUCCUGCCCCUCCAUGGCGGGCGGUGGCUCCCGGCACCGACGAGUGAAGCCUGAGGAAACACAGGAGCUGCGUCCUCACCUGGAGCCCCGGGGCCGGGCACGGGGGUCAGUGCCCCGUGGUGCUGCGUCCAUCGGGAAUGAUCCGUGGGCAGGACCUCGGCCCUGGGCACAGGUGAUCUCGGGAUCUGCGGUGCGGGGCUGAGAGCAGGCUGGGGACACCCGGGCGGCGAGCCUGAGUCGCCCGAGAGCAGGACGUGCCGCCCGGCCCCCCGCUCGCCCAGCAGGGGGUUACCCCCGGGGGCAGCCGGCCAGACCUGGGGGCCUCCUGUUUGACUUUGGAAUACAACACAAUUUAUAAAAUUCCCUAAAAACACAAAACCAGGCGGCAGAAGUGAACCUGUGUGCUGGGUGGCGCGGAAGGCGGUGCGGCUGCAGCCCCGCUUUCAGGAGCCACAUGUGGCGAUAAUACGUGUUACCAGCAGCAUCACACAGGCGUCGGCACAGACUCAGGAGGGGCAGGGGGAGGGAUGGCGAACAGCACAGGUGUGCCGUCGUCACUGAGAACCGAGACUUCUUCUGGUUGGAGAAAAGAGGCACAAACUCGAAGAAGCUGAGCUAGGAGCCGAGCCCCCGAGGUCACGUGGGAGCCGCUUGUGCUGUCCCUUCCGGAGGGGAGACGGGGUGCAGGAGCCCAGCAAGGCUGUUCUCAGCAGAGGGAAGAUCCCCGCUGGGCCCGGGACACGGUGUCCUGGACAUCCGCCACACGGACUUCACCCGAACCUCCCAAGGUCCUGCCGGAAACUCAAACCAGAGUCUGACAGAGCCUCCGGUUCCAGCUCUGAGUUUAGAGCCGGGGUCUGGCCGCCAAAGGACAGGGGGCUUGGCACCCGCGGGAGAACCUGACAGAUGACUGGAGGCCGUCCCGUGAGGAACGAGUCUAAUUUGGUUUCAGUCGUGGGCGCCGUAUCGUGGGUUUUUAGAGUCCGUGUCUGUCACACGUGAACCGACGGGACAUGCCGGGAGGCCCCAUGCGGGCAGUGGGACACCCCCGGGGCGCCUGUCAGUUUCACUGUUGCACUUUCACAACAAAGAGAAAAAACAAAUAAUAAAUAAACACGACGCUAGGUCAAGUUCC
This is a long non-coding RNA of Globicephala melas (long-finned pilot whale), 9823 nucleotides long. RefSeq lists it as uncharacterized. Lineage: Eukaryota; Metazoa; Chordata; Mammalia; Artiodactyla; Delphinidae. The record is from RefSeq and is a predicted model, not a curated record.